GUACCCCUGCUCUGUUGGUGAUCUGCGAAGUAUUGAGCCAACUCGCACGAAAAGGGUAGCCUCGAAGUUGAAUCAUGGGACUCUUUAUUGAGUCCCAGCCGUCAACGGGGGCAUUGCCCACCUAAUUCAAUUAGGUUUAAUCAUUUCGUUGACACGGCAGCGCGGGGGUUUU
This 172-nucleotide non-coding RNA is filed under the name Desulfobulbus sp. Its description in RNAcentral is "6S RNA". It matches the Rfam family "6S / SsrS RNA". Rfam says of the family: E. coli 6S RNA was the first non coding RNA to be sequenced, but its function was unknown until recently. It consists of 184 nucleotides that fold into an extended hairpin structure with a large single-stranded internal bulge. Lineage: Bacteria; Pseudomonadati; Thermodesulfobacteriota; Desulfobulbia; Desulfobulbales; Desulfobulbaceae. The record is from RNAcentral.